RNAcentral lists this ribosomal RNA (577 nucleotides) under Rhodotorula mucilaginosa. RNAcentral's name for it is "eukaryotic LSU rRNA". The stretch from base 165 to 318 matches the Rfam family "5.8S ribosomal RNA". RNAcentral also lists the same sequence under 1 other name. The record is from RNAcentral. Lineage: Eukaryota; Fungi; Basidiomycota; Microbotryomycetes; Sporidiobolales; Sporidiobolaceae.
AAGGAUCAUUAGUGAAUAUAGGACGUCCAACUUAACUUGGAGUCCGAACUCUCACUUUCUAACCCUGUGCACUUGUUUGGGAUAGUAACUCUCGCAAGAGAGCGAACUCCUAUUCACUUAUAAACACAAAGUCUAUGAAUGUAUUAAAUUUUAUAACAAAAUAAAACUUUCAACAACGGAUCUCUUGGCUCUCGCAUCGAUGAAGAACGCAGCGAAAUGCGAUAAGUAAUGUGAAUUGCAGAAUUCAGUGAAUCAUCGAAUCUUUGAACGCACCUUGCGCUCCAUGGUAUUCCGUGGAGCAUGCCUGUUUGAGUGUCAUGAAUACUUCAACCCUCCUCUUUCUUAAUGAUUGAAGAGGUGUUUGGUUUCUGAGCGCUGCUGGCCUUUACGGUCUAGCUCGUUCGUAAUGCAUUAGCAUCCGCAAUCGAACUUCGGAUUGACUUGGCGUAAUAGACUAUUCGCUGAGGAAUUCUAGUCUUCGGACUAGAGCCGGGUUGGGUUAAAGGAAGCUUCUAAUCAGAAUGUCUACAUUUUAAGAUUAGAUCUCAAAUCAGGUAGGACUACCCGCUGAACUUAA